GCCUCCCACAAAGGCGUGCCCGUACCCUGCACUGUGUGGGCACGUAAGAACCGGAGGCAAAGCACUGAAAGUAACGAGUAACGGGACAGCUGCUCCCUGUGCUGCUCCUGUACUUCACUUCCUACAC
RNAcentral lists this small nucleolar RNA (127 nucleotides) under Chelydra serpentina (North American snapping turtle). RNAcentral describes it as "Small nucleolar RNA SNORA38 (ENSCSRG00000008077.1)". It matches the Rfam family "Small nucleolar RNA SNORA38". Rfam says of the family: ACA38 is a member of the H/ACA class of snoRNA that guide the sites of modification of uridines to pseudouridines. Lineage: Eukaryota; Metazoa; Chordata; Testudines; Chelydridae. The record is from Rfam by way of RNAcentral.